Molecule: ribosomal RNA, 373 nt
Filed under: uncultured organism
Description: partial 16S ribosomal RNA
Rfam family: Bacterial small subunit ribosomal RNA
Source: RNAcentral
GUAGGUGGCAAGCGUUGUCCGGAAUUAUUGGGCGUAAAGCGCGCGCAGGCGGUUCUUUAAGUCUGAUGUGAAAGCCCACGGCUCAACCGUGGAGGGUCAUUGGAAACUGGAGAACUUGAGUACAGAAGAGGAAAGCGGAAUUCCACGUGUAGCGGUGAAGUGCGUAGAGAUGUGGAGGAACACCAGUGGCGAAGGCGGCUUUCUGGUCUGUAACUGACGCUGAGGCGCGAAAGCGUGGGGAGCAAACAGGAUUAGAUACCCUGGUAGUCCACGCCGUAAACGAUGAGUGCUAAGUGUUAGGGGGUUUUCCGCCCCCCUUAGUGCUGCAGCUAACGCAUUAAGCACUCCGCCUGGGAGUACGGCCGCAAGGCUG